Long non-coding RNA from Trachemys scripta elegans, 3807 nucleotides. RefSeq lists it as uncharacterized. The record is from RefSeq and is a predicted model, not a curated record. The transcript is spliced from 3 exons. Lineage: Eukaryota; Metazoa; Chordata; Testudines; Emydidae.
ACCCCUGGUAACAACAGUGCCAAUCAAACCCAGCAUUGAACGCAGACAGCCUUGACUAAGCAACUCCGGGAAGAGCUGUCAGCCAUGGAGCUGUCACAACCUCAUCAGCUCUGCAUGGAAGGAGCCACUGCUUGAUAUUCUCGCCUUACGCUGGGUGUCAAGACUGUGCUCCGUGCUUGACAGGGAGAUGGCUUCCUGAGCCGAGAAUCUGCCUCCCAGGCAUCAGCACUUGCUGCCGGGAUUGUGGGGGAUGGAUUGUGGCUGGGCUCAGCUGCUCUAGUUGCAGUUAGGCAGGAGGGUGUACGGAGGAUGGAAUUUACUGGUGCUUUGGGGUUUUCAGAGUGUGGGAAGUCAAACAGGAUCCUCUGGCCCCCAAACUGUGUGGCCAAUAAACAGAUGCUGUGUGCUGCUCCAGAGGUGGCUGCCCUGAAGUGGAGGGUUAAGUGAUCCUUGUGUGGCCUAGCAGACAGGGUGCUGGACUGGACCAGAAUAGCCCUGGCUUCUAUUCCUGGCUCUGGUAACGGCCUGCUGGGUAACCUUGGACAAGUCACUACGUCCCUCUGUGCCUCAGUUUCCCCGUCAGUAAAAUGGGGAUAAUGACAGUGACCUGCAUGGCAAUGCACCUUGGGAGCUAUGUAAGAGCGAGGUAUUCUUGGUACAACCCCCACUCCCCCCGGAGGGGUAACGAAUGCUCUGAGUGGCUCCGCAGGAAGCUGCUAGAGAAGCUCAGGGGGGUGUAAUCCUGCUGACUUUGCUUUGUUUAGGGUUUUUUACUUUACCCUUAAAUCACUUACACCCUCUGCUUCAAAAUCCCACCCCUGACUCCGUAAUGACACCUCCCUCCUUUCCCAUCAGGGGCUGAUCCCAGAGAGCCUCUUCUCCACUCCUCCAGUUCGUCUUAUUGCCCUGGAGUGGUGCCGUCGCCCUCCCACAUAAUGAUGGUGCAGGUGACAUUAGAAGCAGGGAGCAAUGUGACCAGAGAGAAAGCGGCUCAGGGGAGACCAGACCACAGCUCUGGGAUAAAAAAAAAAAACGUAAACUUCAUCUUGCAGCUGAGACGCCUUUAGAAACCGUCUCCGGGAGGAGAGGGGGGAAGUUUUGUGCUCUGGUUAUCUGCAAAUAGUCUGUAAUUUCUGAGGAGACGAGACAUGCACGCCAGGGCUGAGGAGCACCCGGCACAGUGGGGGAGCCAGUCUGUGCGGCGGGGACCCGGAUUGAGAGCAGAGUCCUGCAGGGAAACACAAGGUACUAUCAGCCUCCAGUAACCAAGGCCAGGAGCUCUCUCUAUUAUUUACAUUAGGGUAGCAGCUGUGAGGAAGGACGGCCCAGUGGUUAGGCACUAGCCAGGCACAUGGGAGACCUGGGGGUCAUGUCCCUGCUCUGCCACAGAAUCCCCAUGCGAUGUUGGGCAGGUUACUGCAGCUCUGUGCCUCCGUUUCCCCCGCUGUACACUGGGGAUACGAGACCUGCCUGGCCUCCUGGAGGGGUUGGAAGGAUAAAUGUACUAAGGCUGUGAUGUGCUUAGAUUCAAGGCAGUACCUAAGAGAGAGGCCCCAGCUGAGAGCAUGGCCCCAUUGCGCUGUGCAGGGACAGUCCCUGCUACAAAAAUCUGAACACACGUCACCAGGUUCUGAGCCUCAUUUGACAGCUGGAGAAUGGGGGCAUGGAGUGGUAAGCCUCAGCUUUGGAAAGGUAUUUAACUCCCAUGGGCACUAAGUGACUUCCCCAUGGUCGCACCAGGAGCCAGCGGCAGAGGUCUGCCAUGUCCCAAGCCAACGUCACAACGCAUCUGGUGCGGUGCCCAGCGCACCUAGCGCCCGGGGCAGCAGCUGGUGGAAGGUCUCGUGCCGGUCCUGCACACCAGGCUGUCCAUUGCUUUGGGGGUGGGGGGAGGGUGCCAGGCAAGAGUGGCUCUUGUGCUCCAGGGGGAUCUCAGAGGGCAUAAGUCCCAGACAAAGUGGGUGCAGGGAGUUGCCAAUCUUAGUGGGAAGCACCGAAGGACUCUCCAGUUACUCACCCUCCCCUGUGGCCAACCUGCAGAGCCCAUGCUAGGCAUAGGCAGACCAAGCAAUUGUUUAGGGCUCCGAGCAGCUCAAGGGGCCCCCUAUUUGCUUUUUAUUAUACGAGCUUGCCUGGUUUAGUGGGUGUGGGGGAAUAUUCCUGCAUAGAGCCCCCAGUGGGCUAGCCCUGGCUCGGCCAACUUGGUAUUAGCCUGUGUCAUCCCUGGCUCCCUGGCGUCAGCGCUGGGCCUGGUAGGAUUCUGCGUACUCCUUUUCCUUGCUCGCUAAUUAAUUCCCCAGCUGCAGAGUCUGGCUGAUCAAUGGCUGGGACAGCUGUGGGGAAUUCCGUCUGCGGCUGCUAGUCACCGUGAGUCCCGCGCUGUCACGGCUUCCCGCAGCAGCCAGCCACACGCUGGGCUGAGUCCCUCCUGUGAAAGGCCUGGGGAGGAGCCCCGGAGACCAGAGCAGGGACAGCUGGGUUGUGCAGAGAGACGUUCCCCCCUCCAGGCCACCCCUGCCAGCGUGUCCCUGUGAACAGGUUUGGCCUGUGGGCGGGGCCUCCAGGCCCCCGCUGUCCUAGCUCGGCCCCCCAGGAGGGAGGCAAAAGGUGAGCUGGGCUUGUGAGGAGCGGGGCUUUCAGGGCCCUGGGUUCAGGCCCUGGAUGUGCCGCAGGCUUCCCUGUAUGCUGUUGUCCCUGGGGGUGGGGCACAGGGGGCUGGUGCUGCCAAGGGGCCUGGGCACCUCCUGGGGUGUGGUCUCUGCUGCUGUCCUAUCGACCCAGUGUGAAUCAGGAGUGACUUCAGGUGUGAGCAGAGGAGAAUCGGGCUCCUAAUUGCCUCCCCCUUCCAGCCCCUGGUGAAGCCUCCCAGCAGCAUUUCCACUUCAGGCUCCGUCUCUCUGCGUCACCAUUUGUAAUGGGGAUGGCAGCCACCAGAUCCUGCCCCCUGAGCUGAAAGGCAAAACCGGCGUCUGUUGCUCUGAGACUGGCUGGAGGUGGGAGGACAUAUGCCAAGGCCCCUUCAGCCUUAAAAAGGGGCCAAAAACGGCCCUCGCUCACCUGGGGCCUCCUGGCCAGCAAGGAGAUGCAGUAAGGGCCCUGCUUCCAGCCCCCAGUGCAGGGAUGGAUAUGGGGCAUUCCUGAAAUACACUGCUUCGGGGAGGGAGGGGAGAGCAUGGGCAGGAGAGUAAGAGUUAGAACAGCCCUGGGGCUGCUCUAACUGCCUCACAGGGACACCACUGGUAGCGGGAGUGGGCUGCUGCCAUUGUUAUCCACGAUCCACCAAGCAGUGAGUCGGAGCUGGAGGCUGGGAUAGCCGUUGAAUUGCAGAAACAUCCUUCCCUCUGGGAUCUGAUAGGAAAAUCCCAGAGACAGCUCACCACUGCCCCCAGCAAGGGAUUUGCAGGGCAGGCGGAAACCACUCUCUCCCCUUGGCCAAUUUGCAUAAUCUAAUUUGCCUUGUGGCUCAUUAAACCUCACACUGCAAUGAAUUCCCUGCUGUGGAGCCAGGGAUUCCAGUCCCUGAGCUAAAAGGGGAAGUACAGAGGGCCGACCUGCGGCUGUGUGAACGUGCCCAAAGCCUGCUCUGCGCCCGCCUGUGUGAGAUGAACAGUGUUCGGGGUAAGCGCCAGGUAAUGGAGCCCGGGGACAUUUCGCGCUUUGAAACUUUUGAAAACGGCUUGUUUCCCAUUUGUAACUUUUUCCAUUUUUGAUGAGAGAGCCGCCCAGACCUGAACUACUACUGUUUUGAGAAGUGAAGAAAAGAUGGUUGGUUGGUUUUUCUUUUUCCAGUUAUUACACCCUGGCCUU